This 690-nucleotide ribosomal RNA is filed under the name uncultured bacterium. RNAcentral's name for it is "bacterial SSU rRNA". It matches the Rfam family "Bacterial small subunit ribosomal RNA", at positions 39 to 724 of the family's 1533-position model. The record is from RNAcentral.
GCGCAGGCUACACAUGCAAGAUCGAGCGGAUGAGGGGAGCUUGCUCCCUGAUUUAGCGGCGGACGGGUGAGUAAUGCCUAGGAAUCUGCCUGGUAGUGGGGGAUAACGUUCCGAAAGGAACGCUAAUACCGCAUACGUCCUACGGGAGAAAGCAGGGGACCUUCGGGCCUUGCGCUAUCAGAUGAGCCUAGGUCGGAUUAGCUAGUUGGUGAGGUAAUGGCUCACCAAGGCGACGAUCCGUAACUGGUCUGAGAGGAUGAUCAGUCACACUGGAACUGAGACACGGCCCAGACUCCUACGGGAGGCAGCAGUGGGGAAUAUUGGACAAUGGGCGAAAGCCUGAUCCAGCCAUGCCGCGUGUGUGAAGAAGGUCUUCGGAUUGUAAAGCACUUUAAGUUGGGAGGAAGGGCAUUAACCUAAUACGUUAGUGUUUUGACGUUACCAACAGAAUAAGCACCGGCAAACUUCGUGCCAGCAGCCGCGGUAAUACGAAGGGUGCAAGCGUUAAUCGGAAUUACUGGGCGUAAAGCGCGCGUAGGUGGUUCGUUAAGUUGGAUGUGAAAGCCCCGGGCUCAACCUGGGAACUGCAUCCAAAACUGGCGAGCUAGAGUACGGUAGAGGGUGGUGGAAUUUCCUGUGUAGCGGUGAAAUGCGUAGAUAUAGGAAGGAACCACCCAGUGGCGAAGGCGA